UACGGAGGGUGCAAGCGUUAUCCGGAUUCACUGGGUUUAAAGAGCUCGUAGGCGGCCUGUUGCGUCCGCUGUGAAAUCCCGGGGCUUAACCCCGGGCGUGCAGUGGAUACGGGCUGGCUGGAGGCAGGCAGGGGAGAACGGAAUUCCCGGUGUAGCGGUGAAAUGCGCAGAUAUCGGGAGGAACACCGGUGGCGAAGGCGGUUCUCUGGGCCUGUACUGACGCUGAGGAGCGAAAGCGUGGGGAGCGAACAGG
RNAcentral lists this ribosomal RNA (253 nucleotides) under uncultured bacterium. Its description in RNAcentral is "partial 16S ribosomal RNA". It matches the Rfam family "Bacterial small subunit ribosomal RNA", at positions 524 to 776 of the family's 1533-position model. The record is from RNAcentral.